Molecule: regulatory RNA element, 104 nt
Organism: Paenibacillus larvae subsp. larvae DSM 25430
Lineage: Bacteria; Bacillati; Bacillota; Bacilli; Caryophanales; Paenibacillaceae
Source: Rfam
GGCAUGCUGUAACCGCACGGAUCAGGUAUAAGUGCACGAAGGCAGUACUGUAGUAAGGAUUUCUGCUCUUUUGGCCACCUGUAACGGCGAGUCUGAGACAUGAG